Molecule: ribosomal RNA, 371 nt
Filed under: uncultured bacterium
Lineage: Bacteria
Description: partial 16S ribosomal RNA
Rfam family: Bacterial small subunit ribosomal RNA
Source: RNAcentral
CCUACGGGAGGCUGCAGUGGGGAAUAUUGGGCAAUGGACGCAACUCUGACCCAGCAACGCCGCGUGAAUGAUGAAGGUUUUCGGAUUGUAAAGUUCUGUUAUCAGGGAUGAACACAAUGACGGUACCCCAAUAGCAAGCCACGGCUAACUACGUGCCAGCAGCCGCGGUAAUACGUAGGUGGCAAGCGUUAUCCGGAAUGACUGGGCGUAAAGGGGGAGUAGGUGGGUUCGUAAGUUGGGAGUGAAAUUCCGGGGCUCAACCUCGGGUCUACCUGUGAAACUGUUAUACUAGAGUGCAGGAGGGGCAAGUGGAAUUCCUAGUGUAGCGGUGGAAUGCGUAGAUAUUAGGAGGAACAUCAGUGGCGAAGGCG